AACGAACGCUGGCGGCAUGCCUAACACAUGCAAGUCGAACGAAGGCUUCGGCCUUAGUGGCGCACGGGUGCGUAACGCGUGGGAAUCUGCCCUUUGGUUCGGAAUAACAGCUGGAAACGGCUGCUAAUACCGGAUGAUGACUAACGUCCAAAGAUUUAUCGCCAGAGGAUGAGCCCGCGUUGGAUUAGGUAGUUGGUUGGGUAAAGGCCUACCAAGCCGACGAUCCAUAGCUGGUCUGAGAGGAUGAUCAGCCACACUGGCACUGAGACACGGCCCAGACUCCUACGGGAGGCAGCAGUGGGGGAUAUUGGACGAUGGGCGCAAGCCUGAGGCAGCACUGCCGGGUGAGUAAUGAAGGUCCGAGGGUUGUAAAGCGCUUUUAACCGGGAAGAUAAUGACUGUACCGGGAGAAUAAGCCCCGGCUAACUCCGUG
This 433-nucleotide ribosomal RNA is filed under the name uncultured bacterium. RNAcentral describes it as "partial 16S ribosomal RNA". It matches the Rfam family "Bacterial small subunit ribosomal RNA", at positions 29 to 507 of the family's 1533-position model. The record is from RNAcentral.